Molecule: long non-coding RNA, 519 nt
Filed under: Dunaliella salina
Lineage: Eukaryota; Viridiplantae; Chlorophyta; Chlorophyceae; Chlamydomonadales; Dunaliellaceae
Description: long non-coding RNA (DSAL_LNC000248)
Source: RNAcentral
AAUAAGAGGAAGAGAGAGCCCCAGGGGAGCACAUCUCGCGAGGCACCUGAGCUCCAGCCAGUACAUACUGUUGCACCAGCUCCACAAGAGCACCAGUCAGCGCGCACUGGCCCCUGCUCAGCCGCCCCGCGAGAUGGUCCCUGUCGUGUUUCCGUCGUUUGUCAUGGAGCCGGGCCAAUGGGAGGUCUUCAAGCAGCACCGCGGUGUGGACGGCAUUCGGGCGACGCUCUGCAGGCGCUCCGCUGCCAAUUACGUCUCUGAGGAAGACCAGCAGAAGUACGCAGUGGAGCUGGUGUCAUUUCUUGCCUAUGAGGGGGCGCUGCCUCAUACACCCACGCCCAGGCAGAGGGAGCGUGAUGCGGCCAGGAAUCUGAAACAGAGAGCAAAUACAUGACUGAGGUGUGUGCCUGGCUAGCUAGCUGCUGUUGUAAGGAGGAGUGCACAUAGAGAAACUCCAAACAUACGUUCAUGCAGCUCUUGUGUCUUCUUGUGAUACUGGUCAGAACCUGGACAGCCCUU